GAGAGGAACAUUUUGGUGUUGCCAAGGCCUACCUCCUUAAACUGUCUUUGAUUUUAAGUCGGAAUGUUGUCUGACAUCUCCUUUUAUUUAUUCGGAACUGUCAUAAUAUACUUUUUUUCGAUGAGUUGCUGUCUCGAAAACGUAUGACAGACAAUUUAUAUUACUCAUAUGGAACUAUCCUUAGAUCAACUUUGUAUAUGAAUUGCUGUCUCAUAACUGUUAUUUGUGUUAUAUCUAUACCAACAAAAUCCACGAAUAAUAAUGCAUCCUUAGAAGUUUUUCUGUAGAAUCUCGAUAAGAUGUCGUCAAGUUUCGGGUCCAAUACAGCUAAUUUCAAAUCUAUAACAGGGCCAAUACAGAAAUUGUCAGUUAAUAACACUAUAAAAUAAUUUUAAACAGAUCUUAAUUAGAUCACUAAAAAUU
Molecule: long non-coding RNA, 423 nt
Filed under: Mytilus galloprovincialis (Mediterranean mussel)
Lineage: Eukaryota; Metazoa; Mollusca; Bivalvia; Mytilida; Mytilidae
Source: RNAcentral